Non-coding RNA from Physcomitrium patens, 2734 nucleotides. Lineage: Eukaryota; Viridiplantae; Streptophyta; Bryopsida; Funariales; Funariaceae. The record is from RefSeq and is a predicted model, not a curated record.
UAGAAUUAUGUCCGGUUGUGGUAUGCAGUUGCAAAAAAAAGUCUUCUAGUUCUCUUCGCUUUCUGUUUCCAUCCAAGCCUUGAAUGUUGUAUGAUGCGAUGGUGAGGUGUUCAACCAUCGCAAUCAGCUGGUUCUAUGUGGUUGGUCGGUUCUAAGCAGUUAUACUGAUUAGAACAACCAUGUAGUUCUAUGGGUGUAGUAUCUGGCGGGAUGGUGCCUUGAGAUAGGCCAGCUAAUUGGCCGGGUUGACCUCCACAAUCUUCUCUAACCUUGUUGGGGAGGAUUAUCCCUCUCCGGGGGCAGCGUGUACCAGUUCCAGUCUCAGGCUUGUUUGAUGCCAACCAUCUCUGUAUUCAAUCGAAUGAAUACAAACCAUUCGCAGAUUGAUCCUGUUCCCUUGAUGCGCCAUUGAUGGGUCCACAGUGCAUUGGAUCACCUUCGUAAUGGAUUCUGUCCAUUGUGUUUACAUAUAAUUUCUUUUCGGAGGGUGAGCAUAGUAGAGUUGACAAGGUGUGCACGGGCUGAGUCCAGUGUCCAGUCCUCUUCGGUGGAGAGGGUCUUGAGAAAAGUGGUGCUAAUCGGCUUAACCAACUGAGAUCGGCAUCCUACUGCCAGGUUCAGAAGGAGGAUAUGUGAUAGCUGAGGCUACGGCACCUGUAGCAGGGCCGUCCUCGGCUGGGAGAGGGAAAGUGUCGCCCGAAUCUGCUGAGAUAAAGGGUGUAAAGAAGGCUGAUUUGAAAGUUGCAAGUCGUGCUAACACCGAUAAUGAAGGUGGUGCAAGGGCAAACGAUGGACGAGGACACUUUAGUAAGUUUGGGGGUAGGGUUGAUGCUGAUCAGGACUACAAUGAGAAGUUGAGGACAACAUGGACCAUCAAGAGCUUGGGAAGUACCAGCACACAGUCGAUCUUAAGAUGCAGUGAGUCGAGCCUAUCAUCCUGAAUUUAUUUUGUGCUUGUGAUGCUGAUAGUGGUCAUGAUGCUCAAUAUCCCACGUCUCACAUCUGCUUGUGGUAUUGGGUUCAAAACAUUUCUACCGUCGAUGUUAUGUGUACAAAGCAGUUAUAAAGCACUUUCACCUGAGCAGAUGACUCGGUACGAGUGCUGCCGACAUUCUGGAUUUUCAGAUUGCCAACAUGUGACUUGUAUGUUCCGCUCUGAGGACGAUUUUGAAUUUUGAAUUUUUGCAAUAUUGCAUGGGAUGAAUAACCUGAAGAUGAAAAAUUCAAGUUCGAUUAGUGCAAGAGCAGAUGCCGUUGAAACUGUUAGAAUUUUACCAUACGCAGAUUGUUUGUUGUGUUGUCUAACCCUGCUCUGUUCUAAACGUCUGCAUGAGUAUUGAAGGAAGCAGUUGCGGCAGAGUGUAUCAGGUGAUCAAGUUUCGUUUCCCAUGACUAUUGUUAUCUCUGAAGUAGUAAAAAUGUUCGUCGGCGACCGUGUGGAGAUUGGUCUUUCGAUUUCCUUCAAAAUUCUGAAUAUUGUAUUUGCUCGUCCUCUGUAGAAGUAAACGAUUGUCAUUUUCUGAAAUGGCAGUGUUUCAAAAUUUCUAACAGGGUCGGCAUUGGUUUUGUGGGUCAACCACAACCCUUCUGAGCUAUUUAUGUCUCUCUUGCACUUCAUGGUUGUGAUGACGUUUGUAUGAUCCGUUGGCAUCGAAAACCACCUCCACGGUUUUUGAAUGGCAAUGGCAAACAUGUACAGCUUGUUUGAUCAUGGAGCUAGCUGUUAUUUUGGCUGGUCCUCUGGAUUGCAAAGUACCGGCAUCAAAUGUCUUCCCCAUGUGACAGGACGAGUGGUGAUGGCGAAAGAGAUGAAACUGGGCUUAACGUCCUACUCACCUUCGUGAAGCAUGUUGACGAUUGAAGCUGGAGGGUAAAGUUUCUUUUGCGUGGCAGGCCUCGCUCUUCCGGUAGUUCAGGUAUGAUUUGAAGGGGAUCGAUUUGAUGCUUUUCUUUCGUUUAGAGGGAAAGGUGAAACCUUAGCAUUCACUGUAUUGCAUCUCGGAGGCCUCUCAACAAUCACCAUCCGUGUGAGAUCUUACUUCCUCGGCAUUAGAUCUACAUACGAAACGAAAAAACCAUCUCAACUGAAACCGCAACAGAGUAUUGAAUACAACCCACGCUCACACCGCAAUCGUCAGAAGACAGUCAGGAGCAGCAAGAUUCCCAUUGACGAGUUCUGAAAAUACCAUGUCUGGAGUACACUAGAAGGAUUCAUUUGGAAUUAACAUGACAUCUGACGCGAUUCACCUUUCAGAAAAACGUGACCCAGACGUCUUGGGCACACAAACUGAGCACUUCACUGGCUCUCCAGCACAAACAGACUGCAAAUGCAUCCUAACUUGUGUUUGAGUUGUAAGCAAUGAGCUCUGUCCGGUCUCUGACAAGAUAAGCCACUUUUGGGACACAACUGUCAGCAAGCUCCACGGUCUUGCUCCGACACCAGUUACUGUGCUUGAGGAACGACCUGCAAGAGCAGAGUGCAUGCUGGAAAACUUAGAUUACUUUUAUCAGUCCUGAAAAAGGGGGGGGGGGUGAGUAACAUAGUGUACAUCUGUAAAUGCAACUCCAUAUAAGGAAUCUGUUUGGACGUUGAGAAUCUGUACUAUGCUAAACUUCACUGCCUCGGCACAGAUACCCACUUUUUUGUAUUCACUGGAGAGGACAUUUAAGAAGAUUCUGUAAAGAUCUACACUCUUCUUUUUAUAGAUUAUUGGUAACACAGUGUCCAUGCCCA